AAGAGUUUGAUUUAUAAUGCUGUAUUUGUUAUUCACUUUUGACAAAAAUUUCAUCCUUUCUAACAUUUUUGCCCUUUUUUGCAGCUUCUCUUCCUUGACAUCAUAAAAUGCAAACAUGUUUAAAAUGAUCUGUGGAGUGGAGAUCAUUUUUCUUAUUGCUGCUAUUUUCUCCCUGAAUUUCGAGCUCUGUUUUUGCUCAUGUGCCCGAACUGAGUAUGAGAUAGAUGGACAAUGCUGUCCCAUGUGUACACCUGGAUAUCGUGUUUAUAAGCACUGUACUGUGGAAACAAGCACUACAUGUGUUUCAUGUCAUGAUUCGACUUUCAUUGAUGCACCAAACGGACUAAUAGACUGCUUUAGCUGUACAGUGUGUGAUUCUGGUCAGGGUUUAAGAGUAAAGAUUCCCUGCACUCAAUCAUCAGAUACAGUCUGUGAG
Long non-coding RNA from Pygocentrus nattereri (red-bellied piranha), 436 nucleotides. RefSeq lists it as uncharacterized. The transcript is spliced from 3 exons. Lineage: Eukaryota; Metazoa; Chordata; Actinopteri; Characiformes; Serrasalmidae. The record is from RefSeq and is a predicted model, not a curated record.